UGAAGGGAGUUGCUCCUAGUACGAGAGGACCGGAGUGAACGAACCUCUGGUGUUCGGGUUGUCACGCCAGUGGCACUGCCCGGUAGCUAAGUUCGGAAUCGAUAACCGCUGAAAGCAUCUAAGCGGGAAGCGAGCCCUGAGAUGAGUCAUCCCUGACCCCUUGAGGGUCCUAAAGGGCCGUUGGAGACCACAACGUUGAUAGGCGGGGUGUGUAAGUGCAGCGAUGCAUUGAGCUAACCCGUACUAAUUACCCGUGAGGCUUAACCAUACAACACCCAAGAAGUGUUCU
RNAcentral lists this ribosomal RNA (289 nucleotides) under Aeromonas veronii. RNAcentral describes it as "partial 23S ribosomal RNA". It matches the Rfam family "Bacterial large subunit ribosomal RNA", at positions 2663 to 2925 of the family's 2925-position model. Lineage: Bacteria; Pseudomonadati; Pseudomonadota; Gammaproteobacteria; Aeromonadales; Aeromonadaceae. The record is from RNAcentral.